CCUACGGGUGGCAGCAGUGAGGAAUAUUGGUCAAUGGGCGGAAGCCUGAACCAGCCAAGCAGCGUGCAGGAUGAAGGCCCUACGGGUUGUAAACUGCUUUUAUACGGGAAUAACGCGCCUUACGUGUAGCGCUUUGCUUGUACCGUAUGAAUCAGGACCGGCUAAUUCCGUGCCAGCAGCCGCGGUAAUACGGAGUGGCCGGGCGUUAUCCGGAUUUAUUGGGUUUAAGGGGUGCGUGGGCGGGCUGUUAAGUCAGCGGGAAAAGCUCGGGGCUCAACCCCGGCGAGCGGUUGAAACUGGCUGUCGUGAGAGGACGAGAGGUAUGCGGAAUGCGCGGUGUAGCGGUGAAAUGCGUAGAUAUUGCGAAGAACUCCGAUUGCGAAGGCAGCAUGCUGGAGGCUAUCUGACGCUGAGGCACGAAAGCGUGGGUAGCGAACAGGAUUAGAUACCCGAGUAGUC
RNAcentral lists this ribosomal RNA (459 nucleotides) under uncultured bacterium. RNAcentral describes it as "partial 16S ribosomal RNA". It matches the Rfam family "Bacterial small subunit ribosomal RNA", at positions 338 to 795 of the family's 1533-position model. The record is from RNAcentral.